Molecule: ribosomal RNA, 252 nt
Filed under: uncultured bacterium
Lineage: Bacteria
Description: partial 16S ribosomal RNA
Rfam family: Bacterial small subunit ribosomal RNA
Source: RNAcentral
UACGUAUGUCGCAAGCGUUAUCCGGAUUUAUUGGGCGUAAAGCGCGUCUAGGCGGAAAAAUAAGUCUGAUGUUAAAAUGCGGGGCUCAACUCCGUAUUACGUUGGAAACUGUUUUUCUAGAGUACUGGAGAGGUGGGCGGAACUACAAGUGUAGAGGUGAAAUUCGUAGAUAUUUGUAGGAAUGCCGAUGGAGAAGUCAGCUCACUGGACAGAUACUGACGCUGAAGCGCGAAAGCGUGGGGAGCAAACAGG